RNAcentral lists this ribosomal RNA (236 nucleotides) under uncultured bacterium. RNAcentral's name for it is "partial 16S ribosomal RNA". It matches the Rfam family "Bacterial small subunit ribosomal RNA", at positions 15 to 244 of the family's 1533-position model. The record is from RNAcentral.
GAUCCUGGCUCAGGAUGAACGCUAGCUACAGGCUUAACACAUGCAAGUCGAGGGGCAGCAUGUUGGUUGCUUGCAACCAAUGAUGGCGACCGGCGCACGGGUGGGUAACGCGUAUCCAACCUACCCUUGUCCAUCGGAUAACCCGUCGAAAGGCGGCCUAACACGAUAUGCGGUUCACAGCAGGCAUCUAACGUGAACGAAAUGUGAAGGAGAAGGAUGGGGAUGCGUCUGAUUAG